ACUACAUGGAAGGCUUUAUGGGCUAUAGCCCAGACAACAUUUUGGCCCAAAAACCCCUAAGUAUAUGUCCCUUCAGCCCAUUGCCCAUACCAGUCCAAAGAAAAAAAAAAAAAAAAGUAUCUGUUGAAGACUUGAAGUCCGAAAUCGCAUACUCCCAGUCUCCCACAGGCCGCAGCAGGUCUUGAGUCAAGUACUCACUAGGUCAGUUGAAGUGAAGGAUUGAAUACUCCCACAAACCGCCGCUGGAAAUCUCCGUGAACCCACAAUCCGAUUUGGGGAUCCCUACUUCACAGGCAGACCUGCUUUUGUGCGUUUGUGCGUUUACUGGUUCUGGGUUUACUGGUUUUACUGGAGUUGGCGAGCGACGGAGCGAGUUGUUGGCUUGUUGCUGACUUGCUGUGAAUCUGGAUUUCUGGGUAAGUGGGUAACUGGGUAUUGAGUCUAUCCCCAUCUUUAGUUGAUUUGUGACUUGCCGUUGGUUAUUUGGUUAAUUGGUUUAGUUGAUUUGAUUAGUUGAUUUGUGACUUGCCGUUUCUGGGUCUAUUAUUGAACUACAGGGUAAUUGGUUUCAUGGUUUAAUUCAUUACUUACUCUGUGACUUGCCGUUUCUGGGUCUAUUAUUGCUUAUUUGGUUAAUUGGUUUCAUGGUUUGAUGGUUAAUAAAAAACAAACUUCGAAAUAAGAUGGAAGAUGAGUUUCUUGAUAAUUUGAUGGUUCUCUACAUCGAAAAAGAAUUGGCCGAUAGCAUUGAUAAUGAUUCUGUGAUUGCUGAGUUUGAAGUGAGUGGGCCUCGGAGGGUACGAUUUAGUUAGUUUAUUGUUAUUUUACAACAAAUGUAUGCUUGUAAUUUUUAAUUUA
This is a long non-coding RNA of Rosa rugosa (rugosa rose), 858 nucleotides long. RefSeq lists it as uncharacterized. Lineage: Eukaryota; Viridiplantae; Streptophyta; Magnoliopsida; Rosales; Rosaceae. The record is from RefSeq and is a predicted model, not a curated record. The transcript is spliced from 2 exons.